Talpa occidentalis (Iberian mole) is the source of this 728-nucleotide long non-coding RNA. RefSeq lists it as uncharacterized. The record is from RefSeq and is a predicted model, not a curated record. The transcript is spliced from 3 exons. NCBI's taxonomy places the organism in Eukaryota, Metazoa, Chordata, Mammalia, Eulipotyphla, Talpidae.
CCAGCUUGGACGCUCAGACUCCCGCUGACUCGGACUCUGUUCCUGACCUCCAAAGAAGAAAGACGCAUCAUCCCGCAGGGAAUCUCUAAAGGAAGAAGAGAAGCCAAGGAGCUCUGCUGAGGCCAGGCCUGGCCCUCCCUGCCUCUGGUCUGCCUCUGGUACUGCCUGAAAGGAGCACCCAAAGCCCCAGGACUGGCGUCUCAAAGAGCUGUAAUGCCAGAGCCCAGACCUUCAGACUGUUGCUGUGGCUGCUGCAGCGUCAUCUCAGCAGGUCCUGCCUGUGAGCGUCUCCACUGCGGCUUGACCUUCCAUGGCUCCACAUUGUGUAUGGAACCACUGCACCAUCCGGGGACUCUCCUGGAAACCCAGGACCAGCCAAAAGGAAACUCUCUAUUUCCUGGGCCUGUCUCCAGCUUUCUUCUCUUGGACUGUCUCAUCCCACCAUAUUCUCAGUCCAUGAUGUCUCCCACCAAGUCUCCACUCAUUAAGAGCCUCCUCCGAUGGACAGACAGAUAAACAAGCUGGAAUUUGAUUCAGAGCAAGAUGAAGUUUUAAGGAAGGCAGUACCUUUCUCCUCGUCCAGGGGCUGGAUUUCAUCCAAAAUGAGUAGACCAAUGGAGACUUAUCACCUAACCCUGCAAUCAGCCAGACCUCCUGCCAGGCCUUACUGACAGUACACCUGGGACAAAGACUUUCCCUAAGUAUUUUAUUUUAUUUUAUUUUUAGGA